Molecule: long non-coding RNA, 1977 nt
Organism: Trichoplusia ni (cabbage looper)
Lineage: Eukaryota; Metazoa; Arthropoda; Insecta; Lepidoptera; Noctuidae
Exons: 2
Source: RefSeq, a predicted model, not a curated record
GUUUAUCAGUUGGUCCGGCGCCAGUCCUCAGGAAGCCAGCGUGAAGAUCAAGUGUUAGUUGCAGACAUUUGUCUGCAUUUAUCGAUAAUGUACAAAUAUAUUUACAGUAUAGUUCUUAUACUGAUGGUCUUAGCAGCUGGAUCAUCACCCGCUCCAACAGCCAGGAACCUCUUGCCUUUGAUAUCGGGUGUCACCACCGGCUUAGAGGUCCCUACUGGAGUAUUAGCGGGUUCAGGAGUCGGAACCGGCUCAAUACAGUUCGUGAUAAAUGUACAUACAGACAGCAAUGGGAACAUAGAAGUGUACACUAAUUAAUGCCGUGAAGCUUAAGAAGAUAGAGAGACAAAUGACAAUGUAUUUAAUGUGUCUCAAGGAAUGAUUGAUGGUGCUAACGAUUGUAAUAUUAAAGAAGUAUUUAAAGUUAUUAAGCGAAGCUAUGAAGAUAAAGAUGAUAAUUAGAAUACUGAAAUAAACAAGCACACACAAGCGUACGUACAAGAAAAGAUUCCAAUUAAAUUAUCAUCAGAUAGUUAUGAAACUGCUAAUUUUUAUGGCAAUAGAAUCGAAUUUAUACUAAAAAGCGCUGAUGUAUUGAAAACUGGGAAGAAAAUACCAUUCAACAAAGUACUUUAAGAUAAGGAAGAUAAGAAACAUUAUGAUAAGGAGAAACGUGUGAACGUGUUGAGAGUGAUAGUGAAAGACAUUUUGAUAUGAAUGUGAGUGGAAUUUAUAAAUUGUGACAUAAGAUGAGACGUCCUAUCAAGCAGAAUUUAAUAAGUGACGCCAAUAUACAGGUCAAUAUAGAAGGUAGUAUAGUGCUUCUUGUGGGCAAAAAAACACGGUUUGUUCCCCAUUAGAGACCCGGAGAAUCUUUAUCAAAUUGACACCAUUAGUGAAUGUAUUGUACCACGUUGAAGAUAAGAGAAGAAAAGCGACGUGAGAUCUCUUGUCCAACUUUCCAAAAAUGGAGACUAAACACAACAGUGAAAGCAUUCAAGACAGAUCCAUUUCCCAAACCAAGUGAAUUUUUAACAUAUUUACAGCAAACUUUACUCAGGAAUCUAGAAUAAGCAAACUCUUAAAGAAAUACACUUAACAUUUUAUCACGAGAAGAUAAAAUAGUAAACGCGUUUGACGCUCAAGUGUCGCAGGAGAUAAAUUCACAUGGAGGAUUUGACGAAACCAAAAUAUUCAAUUUUAAAGAAAAAUCCCAAUAUUGGCUCAGAUUUUAAGAAUCACCACAUGAAGACAUUUCACUGGAUGCAAUUUAAUGUCGAAUUAUCAAUGUUCGGUGUACGAUCAAAUAUUUUAUACGUAACGUAUAUAAUAAAGUGGGAUAAUUUUGAAUCCUUCGACAGAAUCAGGUCCUAAACAGACAGAGAUAGAACGAGAAAAAUAAUGCCUUUUUUAACGAACUGCUAGACAAAAAAUCUCCUAGACUCAAAACAGAAAUGUGUAUAAAACAGAUAGAUAGAUGAAAUGCAGACAGUACAAUUAUUUAAAACGAUAAUCGUACAAAUACACAAAUUAAAAUUAGCACAUAGCGGUUUGUUGAUUGGUAGUCAACAUUAAUAGCCAGGAUAAUAGGCAGGAUUGUAAAACGUAUUAAUCUCUCGAAUUCCAUUAUCUCCUCUUAGCAGUCGAAUGUAUCAUAUUAUAUACUAGUAAUGGAACGUACAAACAUUGUAAAAUAUUACUACAAACAGGGUAAACCAUGUUCCGGAGCGGAGGACACGUAACGAUACAAGUUGCGAGCCUUGCAUCAGUGUGUUCCGUAAUCUACAGACGCGGCGAGAGAGCACGCAUGCCGUCGUUAUACAAAAUAUACACAUACAGUACUUGGUGUUCAUACUGUACCUACUAACGUGUACCGAUGUGGAAGAAUAGUUACAAUUGAAAACAUGAUGUAUUUCAGAUAAAAAUUUAAGUUGGGAGAAUUGUGUUUUUAUAUUUUUUAUUAAAACCUUAUUCAAGUCU